RNAcentral lists this ribosomal RNA (482 nucleotides) under uncultured bacterium. RNAcentral's name for it is "partial 16S ribosomal RNA". It matches the Rfam family "Bacterial small subunit ribosomal RNA", at positions 29 to 507 of the family's 1533-position model. The record is from RNAcentral.
AUUGAACGCUGGCGGCAUGCCUAACACAUGCAAGUCGAGCGGAAACGGGCCGUCGGGUGCCGACGAGUGGCGCAGGGGGGCGGAAGAGAACGGAACGUGUCCCAUCGUGGGGGGUAACGGGUCGAAAGGGGUGCUCAUACCGCAUACGAGCUAAGAUUGAGAACAGGGGGGCUCAAGGGCGAGCGCGGGCUGAGCGGACCCUGGCAGAUUAGGUAGUUGGUGGGAUAAAAGCUUACCAAGCCGACGAUCUGUAGCGGGUCUGAGAGGAUGAGAACCCACACUGGAACUGAGACACGGCCCAGACUCCUACGGGAGGCAGCAGUGGGGAAUUUUGGACAAUGGGCGCAAGCCUGAUCCAGCCAUGCCGCGUGAAUGAUGAAGGUCUUCGGGUUGUAAACUGCUUUUAUACGGGACGAAAAGCCUUCUUUUAAUCCAGGAGCGUCUUGACGGUACCGAAAGAAUAAGCACCGGCUAACUACGUG